This 483-nucleotide ribosomal RNA is filed under the name uncultured bacterium. RNAcentral describes it as "partial 16S ribosomal RNA". It matches the Rfam family "Bacterial small subunit ribosomal RNA", at positions 30 to 507 of the family's 1533-position model. The record is from RNAcentral.
UUGAACGCUGGCGGCAGGCCUAACACAUGCAAGUCGAGCGGAUGAAGGGAGCUUGCUCCUGGAUUCAGCGGCGGACGGGUGAGUAAUGCCUAGGAAUCUGCCUGGUAGUGGGGGAUAACGUCCGGAAACGGGCGCUAAUACCGCAUACGUCCUGAGGGAGAAAGUGGGGGAUCUUCGGACCUCACGCUAUCAGAUGAGCCUAGGUCGGAUUAGCUAGUUGGUGGGGUAAAGGCCUACCAAGGCGACGAUCCGUAACUGGUCUGAGAGGAUGAUCAGUCACACUGGAACUGAGACACGGUCCAGACGCCUACGGGAGGCAGCAGUGGGGAAUAUUGGACAAUGGGCGAAAGCCUGAUCCAGCCAUGCCGCGUGUGUGAAGAAGGUCUUCGGAUUGUAAAGCACUUUAAGUUGGGAGGAAGGGCAGUAAGUUAAUACCUUGCUGUUUUGACGUUACCAACAGAAUAAGCACCGGCUAACUUCGUG